UGGGCCUUCGACUUUGCUCAUGUUAGGAUUAGAUUCUCCUCCUGUUCCUAACAUGGCUGUGGGGGCACAUAAGGGCCGUUGUAAGGGCCUCUCCCCCGAUCUGGUCUUUAAAUAACCGGACCUUCGACUUUGCUCGUGUUAGGACGAGGUCCUCCUCCUGUUUCUAACACGCUUAGUUUCGAUUGUCGGAAGGAGCUACUCUC
This 203-nucleotide long non-coding RNA is filed under the name Elaeis guineensis (African oil palm). RNAcentral describes it as "long non-coding RNA (EGUI_LNC081633)". Lineage: Eukaryota; Viridiplantae; Streptophyta; Magnoliopsida; Arecales; Arecaceae. The record is from RNAcentral.